RNAcentral lists this transfer RNA (84 nucleotides) under Nitrincola tibetensis. It matches the Rfam family "tRNA". Rfam says of the family: Transfer RNA (tRNA) molecules are approximately 80 nucleotides in length. Their secondary structure includes four short double-helical elements and three loops (D, anti-codon, and T loops). The record is from Rfam by way of RNAcentral. Lineage: Bacteria; Pseudomonadati; Pseudomonadota; Gammaproteobacteria; Oceanospirillales; Oceanospirillaceae.
GCAGAUGUGGUGGAAUUGGUAGACACGCUAGCUUCAGGUGCUAGUGCCUUCAUCGGCGUGGGAGUUCGAGUCUCCCCAUCUGCA